RNAcentral lists this ribosomal RNA (384 nucleotides) under uncultured bacterium. Its description in RNAcentral is "bacterial SSU rRNA". It matches the Rfam family "Bacterial small subunit ribosomal RNA", at positions 32 to 412 of the family's 1533-position model. The record is from RNAcentral.
AAUCAACGCUGGCGGCGUGCCUAACACAUGCAAGUCGAACGGGAAAGUGGAGCAAUCCAUGAGUAUAGUGGCGACCGGGUGAGUAACACGUGACUAACCUACCUUCAAGUGGGGGAUAACCUCGGGAAACCGGGGCUAAUACCGCAUAAUAUCCUUGUUAUGAGAAAGCAGGGAUCAAAGGAGCAAUUCGCUGGAAGAGGGGGUCGCGGCUGAUUAGCUAGUUGGUGGGGUAAUGGCCCACCAAGGCUUUGAUCGGUAGCCGGCCUGAGAGGGCGCACGGCCACACUGGAACUGAAACACGGUCCAGACUCCUACGGGAGGCAGCAGUGGGGAAUUUGCGCAAUGGGGGAAACCCUGACGCAGCAACGCCGCGUGGAGGAUGAA